RNAcentral lists this ribosomal RNA (460 nucleotides) under uncultured bacterium. RNAcentral describes it as "partial 16S ribosomal RNA". It matches the Rfam family "Bacterial small subunit ribosomal RNA", at positions 338 to 795 of the family's 1533-position model. The record is from RNAcentral.
CCUACGGGGGGCAGCAGUGAGGAAUAUUGGUCAAUGGGCGGGAGCCUGAACCAGCCAAGUCGCGUGAGGGAAGACGGUCCUAUGGAUUGUAAACUUCUUUUAUAUGGGAAUAAAAUGUUCCACGUGUGGGAUUUUGUAUGUACCAUAUGAAUAAGGAUCGGCUAACUCCGUGCCAGCAGCCGCGGUAAUACGGAGGAUCCGAGCGUUAUCCGGAUUUAUUGGGUUUAAAGGGAGCGUAGGUGGAUUGUUAAGUCAGUUGUGAAAGUUUGCGGCUCAACCGUAAAAUUGCAGUUGAAACUGGCAGUCUUGAGUACAGUAGAGGUGGGCGGAAUUCGUGGUGUAGCGGUGAAAUGCUUAGAUAUCACGAAGAACUCCGAUUGCGAAGGCAGCUCACUGGACUGCAACUGACACUGAGGCUCGAAAGUGUGGGUAUCAAACAGGAUUAGAUACCCCAGUAGUC